GCAGAUUGUCUCAAGGUUGAAGCUGGAGUCCAACUCUGAGCUCCAGGGGAGCGACCAGCUCGUGGUCGUGGUGUCUAAUUGCUGCAGGGAAAGUUUUAAGGAUCACUACUUCUGGAUGCUUAAUUGAUGUUUUUUGUGUGGCAACCAAACGAGAGAGGAUCCAAUAUCUAUUACCUACAUAGGAGACCAGAUGGAUCAGAUUUCACCAUCUUCAUAAGCUGCAUUGCAUUCUAUUGUGGGAGAACAAGAAGGAACUGAAGACAAAAUUGGAAGACAACAGGUCUAUCCUCUGAAUUUUGUUUGUUUGUACCAGAUCUUAAUAAUUUGAGAUGUGUAAAUGUUAUGUCUUAGUUUAAACGCCAGUUGCAUGUUGAUAUAUAGCAGCGUUGUUUAUUUUAUACAUUUGAUUUCUCUUGCCAUUUCAAAUUUUCUGUACUGAGUCCACCAUCUUCCCAGAGUCAGUGAAAACCUACAGAGCUUUGAUAAUGUUUUGUGCCAAUAUUAUUUUAGAAUUAUACUUCCUUUCAUGUUUGAUGUUUGAUGCUUAUUAGCAUCUACUGCUCAUGAUUUGGACCUAAUCGCUCUGUUGUUUACCAUCUCCUUCAUAUAUACGCGCAUCAUUGUCCUCGCCUGUUUGUCCUUCCACCUUAGUCCAGCCACUACUAUGCUCUGCUUGUAGGCUACCAUGGAGAAAUUGCACCGGUCAGUUGAUCAUCAAGUUUGGUUCGCUGUUUCAUCUGCUCAGUGUGUUGUCUCUCAAGUCCAGGUACGAUUUUCAGCAACUUUCUUGGCACUUUAGUUGGUUCUACUUGCAUUUCGUUUGUAUGUUUCUGUUGUAUGAAGUUUUGAGCAAGAUUGUGGUGUGUGAUGGUAUGAAGAUUAAUGUGAAAUCAGAUAUGUUGUGUUGUGCACCAUAAACUCAAGUGAACUUAAUUGUGCUCCUUGCUGACAUUUGAUAUGCACUAAUCUAGACAGGAACAACAAACACCAUGCCAAUUUUAGAACUGGUCCAGCAAAUAGGC
Non-coding RNA from Triticum urartu, 1022 nucleotides. The record is from RefSeq and is a predicted model, not a curated record. Lineage: Eukaryota; Viridiplantae; Streptophyta; Magnoliopsida; Poales; Poaceae.